Molecule: transfer RNA, 84 nt
Filed under: Balanites aegyptiaca
Lineage: Eukaryota; Viridiplantae; Streptophyta; Magnoliopsida; Zygophyllales; Zygophyllaceae
Description: tRNA-Tyr
Rfam family: tRNA
About the family: Transfer RNA (tRNA) molecules are approximately 80 nucleotides in length. Their secondary structure includes four short double-helical elements and three loops (D, anti-codon, and T loops).
Source: RNAcentral
GGGUCGAUGCCCGAGCGGUUAAUGGGGACGGACUGUAAAUUCGUUGGCAAGAUGCCUACGCUGGUUCAAAUCCAGCUCGGCCCA